GUAUCUAUGGCCGUGGGGAGUGGAGGAGCAGGUAACGAAGGCGCUUCCGAAGCGGGAUUGGACCAAACCAGAGGGACCGAGUCUUCUGGGUCUCUCUGCCUGAGGCCCUGGAGGGAGAGAAGGCAACCCCGUGGCCAACUGGAUUCAUGCCCGCUCCACGAGGAAGAAGCGCUGCCCCUACACCAAGUACCAGACGCUGGAACUGGAGAAGGAGUUUCUUUUCAAUAUGUAUUUAACCAGGGACCGUCGGUAUGAGGUGGCCCGGGUUCUCAAUCUCACCGAGCGGCAGGUCAAAAUCUGGUUUCAGAACCGAAGGAUGAAGAUGAAAAAGAUGAAUAAAGAGAAAACCGACAAGGAGCAGUCCUAAACCCUGCCCAGCCUGCUGCCUCAGCACAGCCAAGGGAAAAACAAAAACCCCACAAAAUACCCCAACACAGGCGGGGAAGAGACGAAAAAGAAAAGGAAAGAGCAAGAUAGACAAAAGCCAAUCAGCUUAAAAAGAAAAAAAAGGAAAGGGAAAAGAAAACUCUUGCGAUUUGGGAGGGUUCAGUGUUGAGAUAUUGGUGUUUUAGAGUUAGUUC
This 581-nucleotide small RNA is filed under the name Pongo abelii (Sumatran orangutan). Its description in RNAcentral is "processed transcript". The record is from RNAcentral. Lineage: Eukaryota; Metazoa; Chordata; Mammalia; Primates; Hominidae.